RNAcentral lists this ribosomal RNA (1542 nucleotides) under Escherichia coli. Its description in RNAcentral is "bacterial SSU rRNA". It matches the Rfam family "Bacterial small subunit ribosomal RNA". The record is from RNAcentral. Lineage: Bacteria; Pseudomonadati; Pseudomonadota; Gammaproteobacteria; Enterobacterales; Enterobacteriaceae.
AAAUUGAAGAGUUUGAUCAUGGCUCAGAUUGAACGCUGGCGGCAGGCCUAACACAUGCAAGUCGAACGGUAACAGGAAGAAGCUUGCUUCUUUGCUGACGAGUGGCGGACGGGUGAGUAAUGUCUGGGAAACUGCCUGAUGGAGGGGGAUAACUACUGGAAACGGUAGCUAAUACCGCAUAACGUCGCAAGACCAAAGAGGGGGACCUUCGGGCCUCUUGCCAUAGGAUGUGCCCAGAUGGGAUUAGCUAGUAGGUGGGGUAACGGCUCACCUAGGCGACGAUCCCUAGCUGGUCUGAGAGGAUGACCAGCCACACUGGAACUGAGACACGGUCCAGACUCCUACGGGAGGCAGCAGUGGGGAAUAUUGCACAAUGGGCGCAAGCCUGAUGCAGCCAUGCCGCGUGUAUGAAGAAGGCCUUCGGGUUGUAAAGUACUUUCAGCGGGGAGGAAGGGAGUAAAGUUAAUACCUUUGCUCAUUGACGUUACCCGCAGAAGAAGCACCGGCUAACUCCGUGCCAGCAGCCGCGGUAAUACGGAGGGUGCAAGCGUUAAUCGGAAUUACUGGGCGUAAAGCGCACGCAGGCGGUUUGUUAAGUCAGAUGUGAAAUCCCCGGGCUCAACCUGGGAACUGCAUCUGAUACUGGCAAGCUUGAGUCUCGUAGAGGGGGUAGAAUUCCGGUGUAGCGGUGAAAUGCGUAGAGAUCUGGAGGAAUACCGGUGGCGAAGGCGGCCCCCUGGACGAAGACUGACGCUCAGGUGCGAAAGCGUGGGGAGCAAACAGGAUUAGAUACCCUGGUAGUCCACGCCGUAAACGAUGUCGACUUGGAGGUUGUGCCCUUGAGGCGUGGCUUCCGGAGCUAACGCGUUAAGUCGACCGCCUGGGGAGUACAGUACCGCAAGGUUAAAACUCAAAUGAAUUGACGGGGGCCCGCACAAGCGGUGGAGCAUGUGGUUUAAUUCGAUGCAACGCGAAGAACCUUACCUGGUCUUGACAUCCACGGAAGUUUUCAGAGAUGAGAAUGUGCCUUCGGGAACCGUGAGACAGGUGCUGCAUGGCUGUCGUCAGCUCGUGUUGUGAAAUGUUGGGUUAAGUCCCGCAACGAGCGCAACCCUUAUCCUUUGUUGCCAGCGGUCCGGCUGGGAACUCAAAGGAGACUGCCAGUGAUAAACUGGAGGAAGGUGGGGAUGACGUCAAGUCAUCAUGGCCCUUACGACCAGGGCUACACACGUGCUACAAUGGCGCAUACAAAGAGAAGCGACCUCGCGAGAGCAAGCGGACCUCAUAAAGUGCGUCGUAGUCCGGAUUGGAGUCUGCAACUCGACUCCAUGAAGUCGGAAUCGCUAGUAAUCGUGGAUCAGAAUGCCACGGUGAAUACGUUCCCGGGCCUUGUACACACCGCCCGUCACACCAUGGGAGUGGGUUGCAAAAGAAGUAGGUAGCUUAACCUUCGGGAGGGCGCUUACCACUUUGUGAUUCAUGACUGGGGUGAAGUCGUAACAAGGUAACCGUAGGGGAACCUGCGGUUGGAUCACCUCCUUA